CAGUCGCGUCUGCUAGAACUCAGCCUUGCUUUGGCUUGGUGCAUUUUCUAGUUGACGGGCCAGCAUCAGUUUUGACUGCUAGAAAAAGGUUAGAGAAAUGUGGCACCUCCGGGUGUGUUAUAGCCCCCUGCUGUAUACACUGGUUGGGAUUGAGGUUUCAGUGCACGCUUCGGUUGUGCUUUGAUGCUGGCGUAAUGGCUUUAAGCGACCCGUCUUGAAACACGGACCAAGGAGUCUAACAUGUAUG
RNAcentral lists this ribosomal RNA (247 nucleotides) under Dentiscutata heterogama. It matches the Rfam family "Eukaryotic large subunit ribosomal RNA", at positions 430 to 686 of the family's 3401-position model. Lineage: Eukaryota; Fungi; Glomeromycota; Glomeromycetes; Diversisporales; Gigasporaceae. The record is from RNAcentral.